This 1496-nucleotide long non-coding RNA is filed under the name Bos grunniens (domestic yak). RNAcentral describes it as "lncRNA (ENSBGRG00000017286.1)". The record is from RNAcentral. Lineage: Eukaryota; Metazoa; Chordata; Mammalia; Artiodactyla; Bovidae.
UCACGGAGGCCUCGAGCCCUCAGGUCACCGGAGGCCUCGAGCCUCAGGUCACGGAGGCCUCGAGCCCUCAGGUCACGGAGGCCUCGAGCCUCAGGUCACCGGAGAAAAGACGAGACCCAGGAGCGAUUUCUUGAAUCUGACAAGAUUGAGGCUCAGUUCAGAGCCCUGUCAAAUUCAGUCCCAUUUCUUUCUCUUGUAGCCACACGGGGUCGCUGCUGGUUAAGGAAAAGUAGCAAAUUGGGUGUUUUGGAAUCCUCCCUUGGCAUAGGUACUUUUCAGUAGAUGUCAAACAUGAUGUGGGGUGGCAAAUCACUUUUUUGGUAGAAACAGUUUAAGUUCUUGAGGAUGUUAUUUAAAUGAAUCCAUAGACAAGACAGCUCUAACCUGAAUAACCAAAUUCCUCUUUUUAAAAAAUUUCAAAAUUUUUUAUACCAGGGUGACUUGGUUAAGUUACUUACAAGUUAUUUUGAAAAUGUCUUUGUCCUUGGGAUCUGGAUUUUAAAAAAUCUGUUUAGUUACUUUUUAUGUCUGAUUUCUCUUCGAGCCCUCCCCGUUCCUGAAUUUUGCAGCUGUGGCAGUUGCAUAGCACUGUGGUACUUUGGACAACAGACCAGUGUUGUCAAAGCAGGUUCUGAGCUCUGAUCUGUUAAAAGUUGGGAAGUGUUUCUGUGUAUGAAUUCCUCAGUCCUUCAAUAAACUGCUAGAAGCAGCUCAAUCUCCCUCUGAAGAUUUUCUUAGUUCUGAUUUUGUGUUUGGUGAAUUAGCGGCAAGUCUGUUUGCAUAUUUGACUGUAUUUUGCCAUCUUGCCUGAAACUAAAGACUUUAAAGAGGCUGAUGAAAUAGCGAGCUUCCUGUCACCCAAGGUUACAUUCAACCUUUGUGUUUGCCUAAACAGAAAUGCCAUCUGUGGCUUUUUGAUAAAUUUUACAGUCAUCUUUUAUCCUUUUUAUUUUGAAAUAUUUCAACUCUGUUGAAAAAAUAAUGAAUGCCCACAUUGUUAAUAUUCUGCCUCAUUGUUUUUUUCUCUUAUUAUACAUAGGCAUUUUUUCUUGAAGUUAUAGGGUCAUGACUUUAAAUACUUCAUGUAUCUUCUAAGAACAAAGGCAUUCUCCUAUGAAACCUUUUUUCUGAGAUAAUUUUAUUUUUCCUUUUUAUAUUUUUAAACUUUUUUACAUAUAGAAAUCAAACAUACACAGAAAUACAGAGACUGGAAUGAUGAACCCCCGUUUAGUCACUGCCCAAUUUCAACAAUUAUCAACUAAUGUUAAUCUUAGUGCUUUUAUAUCCCCUCUACAUCUUGGAGCCAAAUACUUUUUUGUGAACAAAUUAUGAAGCUUUAUUGAAAGAUCGUGAGGAGAUGAUUUACUGUAUAUGACACUCUUGAUACCAAGUAAUCAUAACUACCAUGUAUGCCUGUUAUAUGAGAAUGCUGUCAACUAGGUCUGUACUAAGAACAGUGGUUCCCAAAUUCUAGUGCUCAGUUCAGUUGAAUUGCU